UUGGCGGACGGGUGAGUAACGCGUGAGCAACCUACCUUUCAGAGGGGGAGUAACGUUUGGAAACGAACGCUAAUACCGCAUGAUAUUAUUGGGCAGCAUUGCCUGAUAAUCAAAGGAGCAAUCCGCUGAAAGAUGGGCUCGCGUCCGAUUAGGUAGUUGGCGGGGUAACGGCCCACCAAGCCGACGAUCGGUAGCCGGACUGAGAGGGUUGAACGGCCACAUUGGGACUGAGACACGGCCCAGACUCCUACGGGAGGCAGCAG
This 263-nucleotide ribosomal RNA is filed under the name uncultured bacterium. RNAcentral describes it as "partial 16S ribosomal RNA". It matches the Rfam family "Bacterial small subunit ribosomal RNA", at positions 95 to 354 of the family's 1533-position model. The record is from RNAcentral.